UACGUAGGGGGCUAGCGUUGUCCGGAUUUAUUGGGCGUAAAGAGCGCGUAGGCGGCCGAGUAAGUCCGACGUGAAAUCUGGAGGCUCAACCUCCAGCGGUCGUUGGAAACUACUCGGCUAGAGUCCGGAAGAGGAGAGUGGAAUUCCUGGUGUAGCGGUGAAAUGCGCAGAUAUCAGGAGGAACACCAAUGGCGAAGGCAGCUCGCUGGGACGUUACUGACGCUGAGACGCGAAAGCGUGGGGAGCAAACAGG
Molecule: ribosomal RNA, 253 nt
Filed under: uncultured bacterium
Lineage: Bacteria
Description: partial 16S ribosomal RNA
Rfam family: Bacterial small subunit ribosomal RNA
Source: RNAcentral